This 282-nucleotide long non-coding RNA is filed under the name Elaeis guineensis (African oil palm). Its description in RNAcentral is "long non-coding RNA (EGUI_LNC010289)". Lineage: Eukaryota; Viridiplantae; Streptophyta; Magnoliopsida; Arecales; Arecaceae. The record is from RNAcentral.
GCCGGCGAUCAAGCCCUGUCCACCUCCACUUCUUCAUUUUCUCCUUCGACCACUAUGGCUGCUUCUUCCUCGCCGCCUCCUCGAUUUUCAAUCGACGAUCAAAUCCCACCCCAUACUUCUCCUUCACCAGCCAAUGUGAUCAAGCCCCGCUAGCUUGAUUCUCUUCUUCUCUCCUUCGCCUCCAACUGUCGCCACUAUCUCUCCCCGUACUGCCUUGACUGUCUUCAAUCAAGUUGUGCCACUCCUUACCACCAUGACGGCACCUCUUCGGCCGCCUCUCUC